CAAGGAAGAGACAAAUUUUUAAGAACAUUAUCUUAUAUGGCAAAAUUUGCCACAUUGGGUAUAUCUUCAAAUGAAACAAAUAAAAAGUUAAAAAUAUUUAGUAAUCAAAUAAAUGAAUGUAGAAUGAUUUUAAGAUUAUUAAAUGAUAUACCAAUGAUUCAUUAUGCUAUGAAAUAUGAAUGGGAAAAAGAGGUAUAUAUAAAUUUUAUAUGUCAUCUAAUAGGAAUCAGAUUGGUUGAUCAGAUAUGCAGAGUUAAUACAGAUUUUAGUAGACAUCAUAUUUUGUCCAAUAGAACAUAUUUUUUGGGCAGGCAAACAUAAAUUAAUUAAAAUCAAUAACGAAAUAUGGGAUAAUGCUUCAACAUGGCUUUGGAUAAUAUCUCUGCAAUUGUCAUUAUUAAAGUCUUUGCGAAAAAUUAAAUUCAACAAUUAUAAAAUUCAUCUUAGUGAAAUUAACUAUAAUACAAGAUUAACUUUGAAGGUAAUAAACAAACAAAAGUGGAAUGAAUUAUUGACUUGUAUAAGAUUAAUAUUAGAUAUAAGUUACGCAGUUAAUUAUUUGCCAUCUGGUAUAUUAUGGGCUGGGCAGUUAAAAACUUGGCAUAUUGGACUACUUGGAUCCUUAUCAUCUUUAAUU
This 637-nucleotide unclassified non-coding RNA is filed under the name Apis florea (little honeybee). Its description in RNAcentral is "peroxisomal membrane protein 11C, transcript variant X1". The record is from RNAcentral. Lineage: Eukaryota; Metazoa; Arthropoda; Insecta; Hymenoptera; Apidae.